UAGUCUUGUUCACCUUAGACGUUUGUAUUUAAAAAGAUGUGAUUUUGAUAAGCUACCAUCGUCCAUAAGGAAUUUGGUAUACAUGGAUACCCUUGAUUUAACUGAUUCGAUGAAUAUUGAAGUCCCAAAUGUUUUUAAGGAGAUGCUACGUUUAAAACACUUGUUUCUUCCCGAUUAUGAUGAGGAAAAAAUUGGAAAUUAUCGAUUGACAUUGGACGAGGGAGUGAUUGAGUUGGAGACCCUGUGGAAUUUGGAUAGUAGAGUGCAUGAAUUAAAAUGUAUGAACAGAAUGAAGAAUCUGCGAAAUUUCUCAAUAAAAAUACACGACAAUGAAAGCUUGUCAGCCAUCAUCGACGCCAUUGCUCUCAUGGAAAAGUUACUGUAUUGUUCGGUUGAAAUCAAAGAGGGUUCAAGUUAGGAACAAUGAGGAGUGUUAACGCUGAAGAAGGUAAUCACAUGUCCCAAUCUUCAUUCCUUGUGGAUUGAAGUUAAGUUAGGGAAGGCGCUGGCAGAGUGCGGNAAAAUUGGAAAUUAUCGAUUGACAUUGGACGAGGGAGUGAUUGAGUUGGAGACCCUGUGGAAUUUGGAUAGUAGAGUGCAUGAUUAAAAUUCCGAAUAGAAUGAUGAAUCUGCGAAGUUUCAGAACAAAAAUACACGACGAUGAAAGCUUGUCAGCCAUCAUCGACGUCAUUGCUCUCAUGGAAAAGUUACUGCAUUGUUGGGUAGAAAUCAAAAAGGGUUGCGAGUUAGGAACAAAUAAGGGAGUGUUAACGCUGAAGAAGGUAAUCACAUGUCCCAAUCUUCAUUCCUUGUGGAUUGAAGUUAAGUUAGGGAAGGCGCUGGCAGAGUGCGGGAGUGACUUCAUCAGUUCAAAACUUAUAACUUUGUUCCUGUCAGAAUGUGAGAUUGAGGAUGAUCCAAUGGGGAUACUGGGGAAGCUUCCUUGCUUGACAGAUUUGUAUUUAUACAGUGAAUCAUUUGUGGGGGAGGAGAUGACGUGUCCAUCAAACAGUUUUCCUCGCCUCAAGGAGCUUGUGCUAUCUCAAUUACCAAAGUUGAGGGAGUGGAGAGUGGAGGCAGGAGCCAUGCCCCUUCUCUAUGAAUUGAAGAUCUAUGAUUGUUCCAGUCUGAAGAUGCUUCCAGAUGGUUUGAGUGGCAUUUCUACUCUUCGGAAACUGAAGAUUACUCGAAUGGCGGAAAUGGGGAAGAGGGUAUCGGCAUCAGGAGAGGAUUUCCACAAAGUCAGCCAUGUCCCUUCAAUUAUCAUCCAUGACGAUUACUAGUCUAGUCAAAGAAUUCAUAUAUAGAGAUGAAAAGGAGAUUGAUGGAGUGCUAAAUUUAAGCUAUGAAAGUCUACCAUAUUAUUUGAAGCCUUGCUUUCUCUAUAUGGGUAUAUUUCAAGAGGACCAAACCAUAUAUCCUAGGGAUCUAUAUUUUAUGUGGAUAGCACAAGGCAUGAUUUCAUAUGAGAAUAUUGGAGACAAGGACAAAUCUUUAUAUGAAAUCGCGGAGCUCUACUUGGGUGAGUUGGCCUCCAGGUCCAUCGUCCAAGUCGAAAUUUACGAUGGUACACCGGGAAGAAAAUACGAGACAUGACUUCAUGAUGUAGUAAGAGAACUAUGUUUGAAAUUAGGGAGAAGUGAGGAUUUUGGUGUGCAGAGUUUGGAGUAUCAAAGUGGGAAACUACGACAAGCUUCCUCGCACAGGAAAAUACGGCAUUUGGCUAUACAUUUCAGGAAAGAAGUUCAAGUGGAAUCUGACGAGCUUACAGUCACUUGAGGAGAAGAUAGUAGCGAACAUUUAAGGUCACUUCAAAUGUUCAAUUCGGGUGUUGUUGUUGAGUAUCCCCCGCAAGGUAUUGUUGAUUUUCAGAAAUUCAAAUUGUUGAGAGAUCUAGUUAUGGUGGGAUUCAAAUUUGGACGAGGGAGUGGUUGAGUUGGAGACUCUGGUGGAGUUGGAUAGUGGAGUGCAUGAAUUAAAAUGUAUGAAUAGAAUGAAGAAUCUACGAUUUUUCUCAAUAAUUAUGCAUGACAAUGAAAGCUUGUCAGCCAUGAUCAAUUCCAUUGCUAUCAUGGACAAGUUAGUGUUUUGUCGGGUUGUAAUCGAACGGGGUUGCGAGUUAGGAACAAAUGAGGGAGUAUUGAACAAGGCACUCACAUGUCCCAAUCUUCAUGAGUUGAGAUCAAGAAACUUUUACCAAAUAUUGAUUUUGCAGCACGUGAACUAAAAACACCGUCUCUAAAUAUAUACAUGAUGUUUUAAUUAUUCUAAAUUUUCAUAUAAUGGUUAAUUAGUUUCCGGUGAACCGUGGCUAACUGAAGUGACGAAUUAAUGUAAUUGUGAUUACUUUUUAUUAACUGAAGUGACGAUUAACGCCCCCCUUAAAGUUCAUAUGUAUAAAAUUGAAAUGCAUCUACUUAAAUAAGUGGAGUAUGUAUUGAGAAUCCACAGCAGGGGAUGGUUAUAUUACGGCAAAUCAAAUUUUAUAAAUUAAAAGUUUUUUCAGUAGGUACUUAUUAGGUUAUGUUCAACUACUCAUAAUUAUGUUAGCGAAAUAAGCAUAUUGAAAAAUCAAGAUUUGGCAUUGUAAAAAGAGACAUGCAUGCAUACCAAAAAAAGAGUUAAUGGGCUCAAUUAGCACUUCUUGGAUAAGAAAAGGAAAAAAUGUCCACCCAAAUAAAAAUAUGGAAAAACUAGCCUUUUUUAAUGUAAAUGUACAAUUAUACCCUUAAUACUGUUACACACUUUUUCGGAAAAGUGUGUAAUAACGUAAAAGUGUGUAAUUGCAAAAAAGUGUGUAACAGUGUAAAAUACAUUGUUACACACUUUUUCAAAUAUCGUGUAAUAGUGUAUUUUACAAUAUUACACACUUUUUCUCAAAAAUGUGUAAUUACGUAAAAGUGUGAUUGCGAAAAAGUGUGUAACAGUGUAUUUUACACUGUUACACACUUUUUCGCUUAUAAAAAUGUGUGUAAUAGAGUAUUUUAUACUGUUACACACUAAAAGGGUAUUUCAGUCAAAAAUGCUAUUAUUUCCAUAUUUUUAUUUGUAUGGCUAGAAUUUCCUAUAACUAAAAGGUUUUGGCUAGAGUAUGGUGCUGCCUCCCAAAAAAAAUAUGAUGAGAUUCUCUGUCCAUAUAUGUCCGAUAUCAUCUGUGAUUCCCUAUUAAUUUUACUAAUUUAAUAAUAUUUAUUAUAAAAUAAAUAAAUAUUAUAUUGUACUAAGCUCAGAAUAAUAAUGACAUAUUUGAGCUCCGGAAUCAGAUUUAAGGUCCAAAAGAUUAACGAAAAUGCCCCAAAUAUACCUCAGUAAUCAUAUAUUUUAAAAAUGAACUAUACCGAAUAAAAUAGGUUCUACAAAUAGAAUUAUUCAUACUUUCAUUUAUUAACCCAAUUGCAAAGAUGAGUCCAGCCCAAUUUCUUUCUCUCUUCCACUCCCUCUAAAAUGGACCCUUUUCUUAAUUAAGAGAUCCAACAAACAUAAAUUAUUCAUACUUUCAUUUAUUAGCCCAAUUUCUUAAUUAAGAGAUCCAACAAACAUAAAUUCGGCCCAAAACAUACCAGGCUCAACAGCACUUCAAUUUCAUGUUACAAAAUCAAAUUCAAAAGCGCAAUCUAAUGUAAUCCAUUUGAAAAAAAUCACGUAAUAUGAUGAUUUCAAGAAAUUAAAUAUAGUCGAGGAAAAUAAUCUCAUUAACCAUCACCCUUAAAUUUCCCACAUAUUUACACGUAUUGUCACUAAUGGACUCACAUAAACCUUAACUAUCUCAACUUUUUUCUAAAUUGUGGAGGCCCUUCUCCACUAAUCAAAUACACAAUAUUUUAUUUAAAACCCCUUCUAAUUAAUGACGAUGAUGACUAAAUGUUAAAUAAACUUAUAUUUGAAGCAUUAGUACUUUUUUUCCUUGCAAAAUAUUUUUAUUCGUGCAACUGAUACGACGACUAUCUCAAUCGUUUGGACGAUGAAGGCACUAAUAAAAGCACCCAAUGUGAUGAAAAAAAGUACAAGCAAAAAUCAGAAAUUUGAUAGGUGACAAGGGUAAAUUAGAUGAAGGUGAUAUGCCCAAACUUCCCUAUUUGGAAGUAGUGAUUAAGGAGACAUUGAGGUUGUACCCUUCAGCUCCACUGCUUGUACCAAGACAAACAAUAGAUCCGAAGUAUUGGAAAAAUCCAGACGAGUUCAUGCCUGAGAGGUUCUUGAAUAGAAAUAUUCAUGAUAUCACGAGGCAUGACUUUGUGUUCAUUAUUUGUUUAGUUUGAAGCCUUUGUGCUCAUCAAAAUUAUCAAAUAAAUUGAUAUUACGGUACUUCUUUGAAGGUAUUUUAAUGUCGUUUUACAUUAAUGAUGAAUUCAGGACUAACAAUAAUGUAUUCGUGUGAAUUAAGAUACUCUUAUUAUAUUUAUGGAUAAUUGAUAGUAUAUGAUAAUAUUAUGAGUUUAAGAUUUAGAGUUUUGAUAAGUAAUCUUUUUUCUACUAGAGAUUUCUUUACAUUGUUUUAAUUAAUGAGGUUUGCCCCCAAUUCUUUAAUUUAUUUGUAAUUUCUACACCAGAUUUUAAACUUUAUUUCUUUUCUUGAAUUGUCACUUUUGCUGCUUUGCUGUUUAGAAUUCUCGCCGAUCCCUUGGAAGAUGAUUUUGCUUGCUACUGUCUACGCAGUAAGGGCAUACCGGUUAUUUGUCGGAUAUUUCUGCUUUAUAUAUAAUAUAGAUUACUUUAAAAAAUAUAUAAUAAAUUAUCCGAAAAAUUGAGUAACUGCCCAAUAUUUGGAUUUGUUAUAGUACUCCUAUGGCAGGGCCGGCCCUUGCAUAGGGCCAAAGGGGCAAGGGCCUAGGGCCCCCUAAAUUUAGGGGGCCCCAAAAUAAAUACAAGUCCACUAAUAUUAAUCCUAUUAAAAAUUUUAGAUUAUUUUUUUAAUAUUUUUAUUGCAUAUAGAAUAUUGUUGAUUAUAAUGUGGUUAUUGUCCCCUAAAAAAAAGACUAUACUGGUUAUUGUAACUUUAGUAGAAAGAAGUUUUUUAAAAUUAAAAUCAAUAAAAUUAUAGUAUUUAUUUGCAUUCUACUAUAUCUCAAAAAAUGUUAAAUGUAUUAGCAAUUUUAUACUUUAAACAUGGGGUAUUCUUGAAGAGGUUAUUGAUAAUUUUGUUCCCAAAAUAUUAAAAAUCUACUUUAUUUCUAUAAUUAUUUGAUCAUUAAUUUAUGAUUUAUUGCACUUUAUAAUAAUGUUAGUUAUGCAGCUAUCUCAAAUUUGCUAUAAAAUUAUGAAGCUUUAUUUUCUAGGGGGGCUUUUUUUUUCCUUUCGCCUAGGGCCCCCAGAAUGUCAGGGCCGGCCCUGAUUACGAUAUCCCACUAUUAUCUUCUUUAAGGAACCGAACACCAUCUAAGUCUGCUCAUAAAUAAUUCUUAUUAUAUAUGCCAUCUCUAAUUAAGCUAAAAAACCAAAAAGCAAAAACAUACCUCAACAUAGUUAUCUAGAGUUCGUUACUGUUGAUAUGUGCUCAAUAUUUGGCUUAGAAAAUGUCAUGAAUAAUAUUAAUUUGUUUACAUGUCAUAGCUAGCUCUAGACAUUUCUUAAAACGUAAUGUCAUAACUUAGCAAAAGGUGACAGGAAACUACCAUCUUAUGAUGUUUAGUUCAUAUCAUAGGCUAAAUUAUUUGUAUUAAUAACAUUAAUCAACUCUUAUUGGCUUAAAGCGCCUUAAUUAAUUACUCACAACAAUUCAUUAUGCCAGCUAAUGACGAAUCACCCUAUCAUUUUUUAUACCAUAUUAUUGAGUUUUGGUCGUCAGAGUGCUUGAGAAAUGGUCUGAAGAGUUGCUGUCGUGACAUCAAAUAAGUAUUUUUAUUGCCUAUUCUUUAUUGAAUGAAGAAGAAAACAAGGUAGAAUCCAAAACAAGUGGAAUUAAUUAAGAUAAUGUGCUUUCUCAUAAGCUAAACUACUUUCACACUUUUCCCCGCAAACGAAAGUCAAACCUCUCCCUUCUUCCUCACACAACUCUCCAAGAACUAAUUUCUCUGUUCCAGAAAAUCCAAAUUCUUCGCAAUCUCCAUUGAAGAAUUUGUAUUCACAACAACGAGUUCCAUAUCCUUAUUCCUCUCUCUAUAUACUAUCACCAAUACUAAAUCAGUUUGGCCAAAGAAAUUCGAGUUUGGAAUUGUUGCGAUGGCAGAAGCUGUAGUGUCGACUGCUCUGGAAACCUUGCGCGAUUUGUUGGUGGACGAAGCAAGGUUUCUAUAUGGUGUGGGCGACGAAGUGAGGCAGCUCGAGAUCCAGCUCAAAGAGAUGAAGUGUUUCCUUGAAGAUGCUGACAGAAGGCGACAUGAAAGCAAAACCAUUUUCAAUUGGAUCUCAGAGAUCAAAGAUCUUUUGUACAGAGCCGAAACUGCCAUUGAAAGACACGCAGCUCAUCAAGUGUCUUCAAGGAGAUCAAGACGAGGCCUGAGGCAGCUCAUCCGCAGAUAUUCUUGUAUUUUGGAAGAAGGCUACUCGCUCCACCAACUAGGCUCCGAGAUUUCACAAAUCAAAUCCGAUCUUGGAAGAGUCACCGAAGCCAUGCGAGCCUACGGAAUAAAGAACAUCAUCGAUCGUGAGGAGAGCUCGUCCACCAAUAACAGGGCAAGGAAGAGCUUCCCUGAAUUCGAGAUCGGAGACUGUUUCGUGGGGAUGGAGGAUGAGCUGAGGCAGCUUGUUCAUCUCCUCGGGCAAGAGAAGGACGAUAGAGUUAUAUCAGUGUUGGGAAUGGGGGGAUCAGGCAAGACCACCAUUGCCAAAAAGCUCUACAACNNNNNNNNNNNNNNNNNNNNNNNNNNNNNNNNNNNNNNNNNNNNNNNNNNNNNNNNNNNNNNNNNNNNNNNNNNNNNNNNNNNNNNNNNNNNNNNNNNNNNNNNNNNNNNNNNNNNNNNNNNNNNNNNNNNNNNNNNNNNNNNNNNNNNNNNNNNNNNNNNNNNNNNNNNNNNNNNNNNNNNNNNNNNNNNNNNNNNNNNNNNNNNNNNNNNNNNNNNNNNNNNNNNNNNNNNNNNNNNNNNNNNNNNNNNNNNNNNNNNNNNNNNNNNNNNNNNNNNNNNNNNNNNNNNNNNNNNNNNNNNNNNNNNNNNNNNNNNNNNNNNNNNNNNNNNNNNNNNNNNNNNNNNNNNNNNNNNNNNNNNNNNNNNNNNNNNNNNNNNNNNNNNNNNNNNNNNNNNNNNNNNNNNNNNNNNNNNNNNNNNNNNNNNNNNNNNNNNNNNNNNNNNNNNNNNNNNNNNNNNNNNNNNNNNNNNNNNNNNNNNNNNNNNNNNNNNNNNNNNNNNNNNNNNNNNNNNNNNNNNNNNNNNNNNNNNNNNNNNNNNNNNNNNNNNNNNNNNNNNNNNNNNNNNNNNNNNNNNNNNNNNNNNNNNNNNNNNNNNNNNNNNNNNNNNNNNNNNNNNNNNNNNNNNNNNNNNNNNNNNNNNNNNNNNNNNNNNNNNNNNGUCUUCAUACAUAUGUCUAGCUACUUUCCGCUGCAAGAUGUUGUUGAUGUUAUAGUAUGUUAUGUCAUACUUUGAGUCUUAAGAGAAUGGUUUCAUACGAUGUAUAACUUGAUUAAUGAUAUUAAUUAAGUUUUAUGCUGUCUUUCAUAGACUGUUUUCAAUUGAGUAUUAAUGAAUAAAAAUGACGAGUUUUAUUAAGAUGAGUAAGUUUUACGGCUAUAAAUGACGCCCCUUUUCUUCCCCUUCUUCUUUAACCCCAUCCCUAGUCGUGGAUCACUCGGCCUAACUAUCCAUAGUUAGGGCGGGCUGUGACACUACCCUAUUAUUUGAAGCCUUGCUUUCUCUAUAUGAGUUUAUUUCAAGAGGACGAAGAUAUAUAUGUUGACAAUCUAUAUACUAGAUGGAUAGUUCAAGGAAUGAUCUAAUAUAAGAAUGUUCGAGACAACAAGGAAACAUUAACGGACAUUGCGGAGCUCUACUUGGGUGAGUUGGCCUCCAGGUCCAUCGUCCAAGUUCAAAUUAAUGACAACAAUGGUGCUGCCAAAUAUAGAGGAAAAUAUUGGAGCUGCAAACUUCAUGAUGUAGUAAGGGAGCUAUGUUUAAAAUUGGGGAAAAGGGAGGAUUUUGGUGUGCUGAAUUUGGAGUAUCAAAGUGGAAAACUUGAUACCUUAGCUUCCUCGCAUAUGAAAAUACGACAUUUAGCUAUCCAUUUCAAAAGAGAAGUCGAACUGGAACCUGAUGAGCUUGGAGAAGUGUCACACCCCAGUUCUUGAAACAUUAACUAUAACUGGGGUACGACUAAUCAUCUAAACGAACAAGGGAGAACCCUUGUGAAAUCCGAAUGAAAGGGAUAACAAUCGGGCUUAGCCCCUUUGGAUGAAGAAAGACAUGUAUUCAAGUGAUACGAAUCAAUCAACAAACAUAACAACUUCAGGAUCACAAGUUUAGUUUCAUGCUUCAAAUAACCAACAUUCACUGAUCGAAAUACUUGAGAGUCAAUAGUCUAGGCUCAACAAAAGAUAUUGUUUAGAGUCACAAUAUAAUAGANCAACAAAAAUAUACGACCACGAAAGCUUGUCAGCCAUCAUCGACGUCAUUGCUCUCAUGGAAAUGUUACAGCAUUGUUGGGUUGGAAUCAAAAAGGGUUGCGAGUUAGGAACAAAUAAGGGAGUGUUAACGCUGAAGAAGGUAAUCACAUGUCCCAAUCUUGAUUCCUUGUGGAUUGAUGUUAAGUUAGGGAAGGCGCUGGCACUGGCAGAGUGCGGGAGUGACUUCAUCAGUUCAAAACUUUUAAGUUUGGUCCUGUCAGAAUGUGAGAUUGAGGAUGAUCCAAUGGGGAUACUGGGGAAGCUUCCUUGCUUGAUAGAGUUGUAUUUAGACAGUGAAUCAUUUGUGGGGGAGGAGAUGACGUGUCCAUCAAACAGUUUUCCUCGCCUCAAGAAGCUUAGUUUAUAUCUAUUACCAAAGUUGAGGGAGUGGAGAGUGGAGGCAGGAGCCAUGCCCCUUCUCUCUCAAUUACAAAUAGAUGAGUGUUCUAAUCUGGAGAUGCUUCCAGAUGGAUUGAGUCUCAUUUCCACUCUUCAGGAACUAGAAAUUAUUGAUAUGCCGGAAUUGGGAAAAAGGGUAUCAACAUCAGGAGAGGAUUUCCACAAAGUCAGCCAUGUCCUUUCAAUUAUCAUCCGAGACAAUUGAUGACUAACUAGUCUAGUUUCCACCCAGGUAAUGCUUGCACCAAUUAAUCUCAUUCUCAAUUCCCAAUUAUGUUGCUUCAAUUUUAGUUUUUCUCUAAAAGAUAGGUAUCUCGAUAAGGUUUUAACUUUAAAGCUCGACGCAUUCUAAACUUGUAUCGUCUUGGUUAAUUGGUUGCAGGGAUUGUUGUUCCAUGUCCUAAGUAUUUCUCUUUAAUUAUUUGCAAUCUUUUCUCUCCUCCCUUGUUUCGCUUUAAUCACUUCUUUAAAAAUAAAUGUGUAUAUUUUUAUUAAUCUGGUUGAAUUUGGUGAUUCUGGACAAUUUAUUCUGGACUUGUUUAGUUCCAUAUGGAGUUAUUUUGGUAAGAUUCAGUCAUGAGCCUUUGUUUAUAAUUUUUGGAGAUUUAAGCUUUAUUUCAGUUCUUGAAUUGUGUUUUUUGUUGCUUGGUUGUUUAGAAUCCAAUAAAUUGAAAACUGGGUUGAUUAAUAUGAACAUGCUAUAAUAAUGAUAGUGUGUGUUUUGAAUAGAUGGAUAUAAAAUCCCGAUUGGUAUACGUAAUUCUUAGCUCAAAAUUCUUCGACUAGUAUCUCUACUGCAGAUGGUUUUGAUUAAGCAAGAAAAAUUGGAUUAGGUUAAUGAUAUUGUUGAAGGAAAUGUAGCGAAGCAGACUUGUGGCGCCUACCUGUCAACACUAAUUUUAAUUAAAAGUUUUUUCAGUAGGUACUUAUUAGGUAUGUUCAACUACUCAUAAUUAUGUUAACGAAAUAAGCAUAUUGAAAAAUCAAGAUUUGGCAUUGUAAAAACAGACAUGCAUGCAUGCCAAAAAAAUAUGAUGAAAUUCUGUGUCCAUAUAUGUCCGAUAUCAUCUGUGAUUCCCUAUUAAUUUAACUAAUUUAAUAAUAUUUAUUAUAAAAUAAAUAAAUAUUAUAUGUACUAAUCUCAGAAUAAUAAUGACAUAUUAUCGGAUUUAAGGUCCAAAAGAUUAACGAAAAUGCCCCAAAUAUACCUCUAACUAUACUGAAUAAAAUAGGUUCUAUAAAUAGAAUUAUUCAUACUUUCAUUUAUCAGCCCAAUUGCAAAGAUGAGUCCAGCCCAAUUUCAUUCUCUCUCUUCCACUCCCUCUAAAAUGGGCCCAUUCCUUAAUUAAGAGAUCCAACAAACAUAAAUUCGGCCCACAAAUUACCACCACUUCAAUUUCAUGUUACAAAAUCAAACUCAAAACUCAAAAGCCCCAAUCUGAUUAACUUAGUUUAUGCAAAUUUAAUCCAUUUGAAAAAAAUCCCAUAAUAUGAAGAUAUCGAGAAAUUAAAUAUAGUCGAGGAAGACAAUGUCGAGAAUAUUGAUGAUCCAUUUUAAUAUCAGGUGACUUGUGUGUUAUUGAGAGAUGUAGUUUAAUCCUCAAAUAUCCAUCUCUAAACUAAAAAGCCAAACAAAACAUACCUCAUCAAAGUUAUAGUAUCUAGAGUUCAUUACUAAUUAAGGAUGGGGCAUGUUUGGUCUUGGCGUUACACCGUUGAUAUGUGCUCAAUAUCAACGGUGUUAAAGAGCAAACUUUUUCUUGAAAUAUCAUGACUAGCCACAGAUAUAAUAAUAAUAAUAAUAAAAAAAACACAUAUAUUGCACCAUCAAGUACUAGUACUCCCCUCGCCCAAAAAUAUGGUAUUUUUGUAAUUUUGAUUCGUUUAUAAACAAUGUAUAGUAUGAUCUGAUUUCUUAUGAUUGAGAUAUUUUUUUAUAAUUGUUUAUACAUGCGAGGAUAUUCCUAAUUCAAUUCAAACAUCAAUCUGUAUAUAUCAAAUAAAUUUAUAUAUAUUUUUUUGUAAAUAUGCAAUAUGUAAUAUACAAAAUAUUUUUGAAAUAAAUUAUGUAAUGGGGUAAAAUAGACAAUCUAAAUUUUGUGCCCAAAACACUUUUUCUGUUAGUAUAGAUAUAGAUUAAUAUUGAUGUGGUGUUUAUAUUUUUAUACACGUUCUUUUAUGAUAUUAUCAAUCUCUUUCACACAUAAUAUUUUAAAAAAAAAUUAUCUAACAAAUCAUUUAAAAACUACUCCCUCCGUCAACGAAAAUAUGGCCUAAAGGAUGAUGACACAAGUUUUAAGAAAACUUGUAUUGUUUAUUUAAUGAGUGGAGAAAAGAUUUAUAAAUUUAAAAAANUGAAAAAAGUUAAUUAAGUUAGUGAGUAGGAAAGGGGCCCAGAAGUUAGUCAAGUAAUUGCUAAAAAUAAGUUAUAAGUAACAUAUUUUUAUGUACAGACCAAAAUGCUAAAUUAAAUCAUAUUUUCGUGAACGAAAGGAGGAGUAAACAACAUAUUAACUUUAAUUUGUUAUUUUUUCACUUUAUACAACCUUUUAACUAUUUUGUCGGUAUACUAUACUUUUGGUGUACUGACAAAUGACUAUUGGUGAACGGUAGUUGUACCCACCAUCCCCACAAUUACUACCACAUGCUCCUUAUCCUUUUUCCUUCACUAAUUUCCUUCACUCUCACCACUACCAAAUCAACACUGUUCCACCAAUCAAUUAAGCCAAAGAAAUCUGAGCUUGAAUUCCCUCAAAUUGUUGCAAUGGCAGAAGCAGUGGUGUCGACACGCAGCUUAUCAAGUGUGUUCAAGGAGAAGACGAGGCCUCAGACAGCUCGUCCGCAAAUGUAGUUGUAGUUUAGAAGAAUACAAGUCGAUCCACCAACUAGGCUCCGAGAUUUCACCAAUCAAAUCCCGUCUUGAAAGGAUAAACAAGGAAAUGUUAGAAAGUGGCAUAAAGAAGAGCAUCAUCAACAAUACAGAUGAAGGGGAAAGCUCGUCCGCCAAUAACAGAGCAAGGAAGACCUUCCCUGAAUUCAAGAUCGGAGAGUGUUUUGUGGGGAUGAAGGACGAGCUCAAGCAGCUUCUUCAUCUCCUAGUGGAAGACGAAAAGCAUCGAGUAAUUUCAGUGUGGGGAAUGGGGGGAUCAGGCAAGACCACCAUUGCCAAAAAGCUCUACAACGAGACCAAGCUUGAUCUUUGCGCGUGGGUUUGCAUUAGUCAGCAAUGUCAGAGUUUUCAAUCAGUUUGGAAGGAUGUUCUCAUGCAGCUACAGCAUCAAAACACGAAGGAUGGGCCAAAAAUAAGGGAGGAUGUUACAAGUUUGAGCGAGUGGGAGUUGAAUGAGCGACUAUGCAAGAUACAAAAAGAGAAGCGAUGCCUCAUUGUUUUUGACGAUCUUUGGGAGAUAUUCUUGUAUUUUGCAAGAAUGCAACUCGCUCCACCAACUAGCCUCCGAGAUUUCACAAAUCAAAUCCCGUCUUGGAAGAAUCACCGACGACCUGCGAUCCUUUGGAAUAAAGAACAUCAUCGACGGCGGGGAGAGCUCGGCUUCCGGCGACAACAAGAGGAAAACAUUUUCCGAAUUCGAGAUUGGAGAUUGUUUUGUAGGGAUGGAGGAUGAGCUCAAGCAACUUGUUCAUCUCCUAGUGGAAGACAAAAAGCAUCGAGUUAUUUCAGUGUGGGGAAUGGGGGGAUCAGGCAAGACCACCAUUGCCAAAAAGCUCUACAACGAGACCAACACCAGCUUUGAUCUUUCUGCAUGGGUUUGCAUUAGUCAGCAAUGUCUGAGUUUUCAAUCUGUUCGGAAGGAUGUUCUCAAGCAGCUGGAGCCACAAACAGGGAAAGGCGUGAGCGAUGACGGGCCACAAAUAAGAGAGGACGUUGUUGCAAAUCUGAGCGAGUGGGAGUUGAAAGAGCGACUAUGCAAGAUACAAAGAGAGAAGCGAUUCCUCAUUGUUGUGGAUGAUCUUUGGAAAGUUUCUGAUUGGAAUGAGUUGAAGCAUCCCUUCAUUGUUCAUGGUUUGCAAAGCAAAAUCUUGAUCACCACGCGUGAACAGGAAGUUGCAGAGAUUGGAUGCCCAGUAAAAGUUGGGCUUCUAAAAGAGGAAGAUGCUUUGGAACUACUCAAGAUGAAAGCCUUUCCAGAUGCCAACAUUCCUGCAGGUUACUUCAUAUAUUCUAGUUGACUUUUGGCUACUUUACAAAUUAAUCAUAUACCCAUCUUUUUAAUUGUUGCAUUGCUUCUUCUUCACUCAAGCCAAAUGUUGUGCUGUGCCAGCGUAUAAAAUUUAUUAAUUUUCACUAUUCAACGAUCGGCAUUAAUUCGUUAUUUUAUAUUUGAAUGCAGAGUUUGCAUUGGAAAAAAGAGCUGAGAAAAUUGCCAAAGAAAUGGUGCAGAAAUGUGGGUAUUUGCCAUUGGCAAUUUCUUUGCUCGGUGGAGUCUUGAGAAUGAAAAAUUCGAUGACGGAGUGGGAGUUAGUAAAUGAGGAUAUCAAAUAAGCCAUAUAUAGAGAUGAAAGUGAGAUUGAUGGAGUGCUAAAAUUAAGCUAUGAAAGUCUACCCUAUUAUUUGAAGCCUUGCUUUCUCUAUAUGGGUUUAUUUGAAGAGGACGAAGAUAUAGGUGUUGAGAAUCUAUACAGGAUGUGGAUAGCACAAGGCAUGAUUCCAUAUGAGAAUAUUCGAGGCAAGGACAAAACUUAAUUUGACGGAAAUCGCGGAGCUCUACUUGGGUGAGUUGGCUUCCAGGUCCAUCGUCCAACUUCAAAUUAAUCCCUUCGAUGGUGUCACACCUGGGGAAAAAUAUUGGUGGUGCAAACUUCAUGAUGUAGUAAGAGAACUAUGUUUGAAAUUGGGGAAAAGGGAGGAUUUCGGUGUACUGAGUUUGGAGUAUCAAAGUGGGAAACUUAGUACCUUACUGCGGCAAGCUUCUUCUCAUAUGAAUAUACGACAUUUGGCUAUCCACUUCAGAACAUGAGAAGUCGAAGUGGAAUCUGACGAGCUUGGAGAAGAUACUAGUGAAAAGUUACCUAUCCAAUUGCAUAUGUCGCACACACAAAAAGCAAACGUGCAGCACAAAGUAUCAACGAAAGUAACAACACUGAACACAAGAGUUGUUCACCCAGUUCAGUGAUAAAACACCUACGUCUGGGGGGCCACGCCCAGGGUAAAUUAUCCACUAGUGAAGAUAAGAUAUUUACAGGACUUAUGCGACAGACUCUCUAGCCUUCUAGCCUCAAUAUCUUCCCAAACCCUCACAACGAUGAAUAAUUGAGAAAAGAACAACGAUCUAAUCUCUAAGCGUGAAUGAACCUCACUCACCACCAACACCCACGAAAAUAACAUCCACCAACAGGCUGGAAAAAGCAACAAACGAAUAAGAAAACACUACCCCAACAGAUUGCUCAAUAAACCCACGAAAAAGCAAUUGAACAAGAUCACACACACUCACGAAAUUGUAUGAUCUGAAACCCAUGAAAUUACUCUCCAAUAUGUAGAAGAAUAUCAAAGAAAUCAGCCACCAAAAACGUCCUCAUUCUCUUCCUUAAAUAGGCAAACCCUAGAAAGAGUUAUAUCUUGAGUAGAACUCUAAUAAAGAUGAUAUACUCGAUCUAUAAUCAUAAACCCUCAAUAUUUCGAGCAUAUAGCUGAUAUAAUGUGAGAUAUAACCAUAAGAGACGUGAUAUACUCAAACACUAAUGAGCUAGAAAAUCGCAAAGCUGAAAACCCGUAAUGAACAGUACUCCCAUAAUGCCAGCCGAAGUAUCAACUCUGUCAGAUACUUUGAGAGCAACACUAGCAAAUUUGUCUACAUAAUGACAACAACCAAACUUGAGUAUCAAAUACUCAACAACUAGCAAACAUUUAAGGUCUCUUCAAAUGUUCAAUCGCGGUAAUAAUUUUGGGGAGUUUCCCCCGCCAAGCAUCGUUGAUUUUCAUAAAUUCAAAUUGCUCAAGGAUCUAGUUAUGGUGGGAUUUGCAUUUGCAGGAAGAAAGUUACCGAAAGGAAUCACUAAUCUUGUUCACCUUAGAUGUUUGCGUUUAGAAAAAUGUGAAUUUUAUAAGCUACCAACGUCCAUAAGAAAUUUGGUGUACUUGGAUAUCCUUGAUUUAAAUCAUUCGAGGAAUGUUGAAGUUCCAAAUGUUUUUAAGGAGAUGCUACGUUUAAAGCACUUGCUUCUUCCGAGGUAUGAUGAGGAAAUUAUUGAAAGUAAUAGAUUAACGUUGGACGAGGAAGUGGUUGAGUUGGAGAGUCUGAUGGGGUUGGAUAGUAGAGUGUAUGAAUUAAAAUGUCUGAACAAAAGGAAGUAUCUGCGAAGAUUCUCAACAAGUAUACACGACCACAAAAGCUUGUCAGGCAUGAUCGAUGGCAUUGCUAUCAUGGACGAGUUAGUGUAUUCUAAGGUUGAAAUCGAAAAGGGUUGCGAGUUAGGAACAAAUGAGGGAGUGUUGAACAAGGCAUUCACAUGUCCCAAUCUUUAUAUCUUGUCGAUUCGAGUUAAGUUAGGGAAGGCGCUGGCAGAGUGCGAGCGUUAUUUUAUCAGAUCUAUACUUAUUAGUUUGUCCCUGUUAGAAUGUGAGCUUGAGGAUGAUCCAAUGGGAAUACUGGGGAAGCUUCCUUGCUUAGCAGCUUUGUCUUUAGAGAGGAAAUCAUUUGUGGGGGAGGAGAUGACGUGUCCAUCAAACAGUUGAGGGAGUGGAGAGUGGAGGCAGGAGCCAUGCCCCUUCUCUCUCAUUUAGAGAUAUGUGUGUGUCCUAAUCUGAGAUGCUUCCAGAUGGAUUGAGUGGCAUUUCUACUCUUCGGGAACUGCAUAUCUAUGGAAUGCCGGAAUUGGGGAAGAGGGUAUCGGCAUCGGGAGAGGAUUUCCACAAAGUCACCCAUGUCCCUUUAAUUAUCAUCCUUGACGAUGACUAGUCUAGUCCUUUUCUGUGCAAUAUUAAGUGUUUUGCUUUAAUCACUUAUAUUUGGAAAUAAUAUGUAUAUAUAUAUACUUGAAGCCUGACAACGGAGUGGUGCCUAUAUUUUAAUAAUUCCUUGUAUUAUUAAUUAAUCUGUUUGAUUUUCAUGAUUCUGCACAAUUAAUAUUGCUUACUUCCAUAUGUAGUUGUUUUAAUUUGGUGAGAUUCCACCCCUGGCCUGAGUCUUUGUUUGUAAUUUCUGGAGAUUUAAGUUAUAUUUUUAACAUCGUUAAAGCUCAUAUAGUCAGCGAGGUAAGGUAUCUCGUUUCUUGCAUUUUCAAUUUUAGUUUUUAGCACAGAUUUAAUCGUUCUAAUUAUUACCAAACUGCAAAACAUUCGUUCGAAUCGGGUUUUCAAUAAAUUGCAAUGUUUUGGAUAGUAAACCACAUAUAUAACUACUUCAUUUCACAAAUGAAAAGUAUUUGUGUUUCUUCUUAUUAAUUUGUUGUUUCUUAAUUUAUUUAAUUAUUUUAUACUAGUAGUAAGAAUGUGCUAUGCACGUUGAAUACGUGUGAUUUUAUACUAUGUAAAUAAAAUACAUAGACAUUACUCCAUCCAUUCACAAAAAAUAGUCAAUUUUCGUCAUUUUUGAGCGUCCCACAAAAAUUAGUCUAUUUUCACUUUUGAAAACUUUCUAUCACAUGGCGGGCUCUUAUCUCCAUUCACAAUAAAUUUAAUUAUCUUAUUAUUACUACCAUUUUAGUGGGACAUUUUCUCCACUUACAAUAAAAAUCAACCAUUUUCAUUAAAACCCGUGCCCCAAUUUUUAACCAUAGUCAAUUGGAAUAAUCAAUUCAGAAAGUUAUUAUUUUUAACUAUAAAUUUUAAUUAGAUUAAUUGUAAACAUCAUAAUUUACUAAAAUUUAAAAAAUGAAAGAAUAAUUAAAUAGUGGGACACAAAAAAAUCGGAAUAAAGAAUCCCAAGUGCAAAAAAAUGGUCAUUCAUAAAUAAUAAAAUAUUUUUAAAUCAUUGAUAAUAUAAAGCACUACAUUAAAUAUAGAGUAAAAUUUUGAAGUAGCCAAAAUGAAGCAUAAAGCACAAUUUAUGGUCACACAUUGAAAAAAUACAAAAUUUGGCCAUUUUUAUUGAUUUGGACGUUUUUACCCUUAAUGAGGCGGACCGGGUAGGAUCAGACACGCGGGUCGCGUGCCGAGUCGGGUUAGGCACUUAUGGCACUAUUAGUGCCAUAAGUGUCAAGAUUUUACUUUGGUUUAAUUUUGAAUUUUCGUUGGCACUUUUGGCACUAGAUUUUACUUUGGUUUAAUUUUGAAUUUUCGUUGGCACUUAUGGCACUAAUAGUGUCAAAAGUGCCAACGAAAAUCCAAAAUAAAACCAAGUAAAAUAGUCAUUUUAGCACUUAUGGCACUAUUGCCAUAAGUGUCAACGGAAAUUCAAAAUAAAACUAAAUAAAAUGGUCAUUUGGGCACUUAUGGCACUAAUUGUGCCAUAAGUGCCAUACGUGCAGCACAAAUACAGAAACAACAACAUCAUUUAAACCCUAAAUGGAAUAUCUAAACCCCAAAUGGAUAAUCUAAACCCUAAAUGGAAUAUCUAAACCCUAGGGGGAAGUGUGCACUUAUGGAAAUAUAAGAAAAUAAAGUUUUCGUCACUUAUGUGAUUUGAACAUUGAACCACGAGAAUUCAUUCAACAAAAUCAUAAAUCCACCUUAUUUGAACUACUUCCUUUAUGCAUUUAUUUUAAAUGUAUUUAUAGAUAUUUAUUUUAGGUUCAAAUAGUAAAUAAAUCUUGAUGUAAUAAUAUUGUAAAGGAAACUACACGCGCUAAUGAAAUAACUAAAUUACGAUAUUAGAAUACGACGAGUCGAAUACAAGUGAUGGUGACAAAUUAGCAUAAAAACUAUNACCCCCUUAGAGCUCUCAAAGGGGCCUUGCCAUUGUGGAUGCUCUAAGAGCAUCUCCAUCCCAAAGGCUCUAAGACCACUAUUAUCGGUUAUAAAAUGGGAGACCAGAUCCCUGCUACAUCAGUAAAGCGAAAUUAAAAAAAAAAGUGAUAAUGCCGUUGAGACCAUGGUUGACCUUGCCAAAAAAGAGACCAUGUUUGGUCUCUUUCUCUUCUCAAGUAUAAACUAAUGAUAUUGUAACACUUGUCAUUAUUUAAUUUGUUGAGCCGAUUUUAUUAGGAUAAUUAAUAAAAACAAGUAUAUCUUUUAUAUAAAAUAGGGUUAAAGUACAGAUUAGCCCCUAAAGUGGACACCCGUUGGGCUCCCCAGACUCGACCGAGGCCCAAAUAACUCACCAUAGCCCGUAGAAAUACUACACUUAAGCCCACACCUCAAACGGCCCGUUAACGCCGUUUUCUUUGAUUUUUAAUUUUUUUGCGUGGGCCCACGUGCAACGACUUCCAAAAGUCACCCAUGUCCCUUCAAUUAUCAUCCAAGACUAUUGAUGAUGACUAACUAAUCUAGUCUCCACCCGGGUAAUGCUUGCACCAAUCUCAUUCUCAAUUCCCAAUUCUGUUGCUUCAAUUUCAGUUUUUCUCUAAAAGAUCAGGUAUCUCGAUAAGGUUUUAACUAUAAACCUCGGCGCAUUCUAAACUUGUAUCGUCUUGGUUUUUGUUGCAGGGUACUUUUAUCCCCCCCCUUCGAGCUACCGUCUUGUUGUUCCAUGUCCCAAGUGUUUCUCUUUAAUUAUUUGCAUUCUUUUCUUUGCAACCUUGUCUCGCUUUAAUCACUUUCUUUCAAAUAAAUGUGUAUAUUUCUUUUGUACAUGGGCCCAUGAGCCUUUGCUUGUAAUUUCUGCAGAUUUAAGCUUUAUUUCUGUUCUUGAAUUGUGAUUUUUGUUGCUUGGUUGUUUAGAAUCCAAUAAAUUGAAAGCUGGGUUGCUUAAUAUGAAUAUACUAUACUAAUGGUAGGAGUAAUUACGUCUAAUUAUACGAACUUUCACCAAAUAUUGAUUUUGCUGCACGUGAACUAAAAACACCAUCUCUACAAGAUCUUUGUCUUUGUCUUUCACUAUGAUAAAUCAUAGCUCUCCAUGGCUUGGGUCGGAGCUGGGUUUCUCGCAUUACUUCGAUGGGUUUUGAUCCCCAAAAUCAUUUUUCAGUUUUCCGUUAGUGGUUUUGCAGUUGGAUUGACAUUCAUGUUCGGUUUUUAUAUAUAAUUGCUCGAUUUGGUUUUUAUAAAUUCACAAAACGAGCAUCUUGCUUGUUGGUGUUGAAGAAAUAAUUGCUGGAGCUUUCUCUGUAAAAGUGACAUUAAUUUACUCACAACAAUUCAUUAUGCCAACUAAUCAAGAUUAUGUGCUUUCUCACAAAGUUACUCUUUUCACAUAGAGGAAAUACUCUGUUUCACAAUCCAAAUUCUUCGCAAUCUCGAUAGAAGAAGAUGGAUUCGUUUUAUCAGGAGCUCAUCGACGAGCAUCUUGAUCGGAAAAGAGUGAAGGAGGUGGAAGAAGAGGAUGGUGAUGUUCUUGAUGUGUUGAUUCAGCUCAAACUGCAACACAAGAUUCCUUCCAUUGAUUUUGGAUGGGAUAACAUUAAAGCCAUGCUAAUGGUAUGAUUGAAUUUAAUUUUGCUCAUAGAUUUUUAUUAUUAUUAGUUUCUACAUGAGAAUUUUUUUACCACUUUCUUGAAUUUUCAUUAACAAAAUUUGUUAAUUUUUUAUUUUNUGCCAUUGAAAGACACGUAGCUUAUCAAGUGUCUUCAAGGAGAGGACGAGGCCUCAGACAGCUCAUCCGCAGAUAUUCUUGUAUUUUUGAAUGAAGGCUACUUACUCCACCAACUAGCCUCCGAAAUUUCACCAAUCAAAUCCCGUCUUGAAAGGAUAAACAGGGAAAUGUUAGAAAGUGGCAUAAAGAAGAGCAUCAUCAACAAUACAGAUGAAGGGGAAAGCUCGUCCGCCAAUAACAGGGCAAGGAAGAGCUUCCCCGAAUUCAAGAUCGGAGACUAUUUUGUGGGGAUGAAGGACGAGCUCAAGCAGCUUCUUCAUCUCCUAGUGGAAGACGAAAAGCAUCGAGUAAUUUCAGUGUGGGGAAUGGGGGGAUUAGGCAAGACCACCAUUGCCAAAAAGCUCUACAACGAGACAAAGACCAGCUUUGAUCUUUGCGCAUGGGUUUGCAUUAGUCAGCAAUGUCAGAGUUUUCAAUCAGUUUGGAAUGAUGUUCUCAUGCAGCUACAGCAUCAAAACACGAAGGAUGGGCCAAAAAUAAGGGAGGAUGUUACAAGUUUGAGCGAGUGGGAGUUGAAGGAGCGACUAUGCAAGAUACAAAGAGAGAAGCGAUGCCUCAUUGUUUUUGACGAUCUUUGGGAAACUUCUCAUUGGGAUGGCUUCAAGCAUCCCUUCCUUGUCCAAGAUUUGCAGAGCAAAAUCUUGAUCACCACGCGCGAACGGGAAGUCGCGGAGAUUGGAUGCCCCGUGAAACUUGGGUUUUUAAAAGAGGAAGAUGCUUUGGAACUACUCAAGAAGAAAGCAUUUCCCCACACCAACAUUCCAGGUUAGUUGAAUUUGACUUCUAGUCUACAAAUAAUAUUCUAGAUUUACCUGUUGGUAGUUUCUAUUCUUGCAUCAUCGAUUCCAAAUCAGAUGAGAGGAUCUGAUUAAGUUAUAAAGUUACUAUUCAAUUAAUUGUCAUUUGUUUUUUCAAUGCAGAGUUUGCAUUGGAAGAAAAUUUUGAGAAAAUUGGGAAAGAAAUGGUGCAGAAAUGUGGGUAUUUGCCGUUGGCAAUUUCUUUACUCAGUGGGGUCUUGAGAAAGAAAAAUUCGAUGAUGGAGUGGGAGUUAGUCAAAGAAAUCAUAUAUAGAGAUGAAAAGGAGAUUGAUGGAGUGCUAAAUUUAAGCUAUGAAAGUUUACCCUAUUAUUUGAAGCCUUGCUUUCUCUAUAUGGGUAUAUUUCAAGAGGACCAAACCAUAUAUCCUAGGGAUCUAUAUAGGAUGUGGAUAGCACAAGGCAUGAUUUCAUAUGAGAAUAUUGGAGACAAGGACAAAACUUUGAUGGAAAUUGCCGAGCUCUACUUGGGUGAGUUGGCCUCCAGGUCCAUCGUCCAACUUCAAAUUGAUUACGACAUGCUGUCACAAGUGGAAGAAAAUAUAGGAGCUGCAAACUUCAUGAUGUAGUAAGAGAACUAUGUUUGAAAUUGGGGAGAAGUGAGGAUUUUGUGGCAGGUUUGGAGUUCAAAGUGGGAAACUACGGCAAGUUCCUCGCAUAGGAAAAUACGCAUUUGUAUCAUUUCAGGAAAGAAGUUCAAGUGGAACUCACGAGCUUACAGUCACUUGGGGAGAAAAUAGUAGUGAACAUUUAAGGUCUCUUCAAAUGUUCAAUCACAUAAAUUCGGGUGUUUUUGUUGAGUUUUCCCCGCAAGGUAUCGUUGAUUUUCAGAAAUUCAAAUUGUUGAGAGAUCUAGGUAUGGUGGGAUUCAAAUUUGAAGGAAGAAAGUUACCAAAAGGGAUCACUAAUCUGGUUCACCUUAGACGUUUGCAUUUAGAAAAUUGUGAAUUUGAUAAGCUACCGUUGUCCAUAAGGAAUUUGGUAUACAUAGAUACCCUUGAUUUAACUGAUUCGAUGAAUGUUGAAGUUCCAAAUGUUUUUAAGGAGAUGGUACGUUUAAAGCACUUGUUUCUUCCCGAUUAUGAUGAGGAAAAAAUUGGAAGUUAUCGAUUGACAUUGGACGAGGGAGUGAUUGAG
Molecule: long non-coding RNA, 21527 nt
Filed under: Salvia miltiorrhiza (redroot sage)
Lineage: Eukaryota; Viridiplantae; Streptophyta; Magnoliopsida; Lamiales; Lamiaceae
Description: long non-coding RNA (SMIL_LNC005797)
Source: RNAcentral